GAUGAACGCUGGCGGCGUGCCUAAUACAUGCAAGUCGAACGGACAGGCCCUGAUCUUGUUGCGCUCUCGUGUGGCGCACGCGUGUGUAUCACGCGUGUAUACUCUACCUGUCUUUGUGAUAUCUUCAGGAGAAUGCGGCUAUAACAGGAUAGAAGCUCCUGAUGCACGUUGUUCAAUGGUAAGAUACGGCGGUUGGGGCUAGACUAGCUGCUUAUCCGCUUGUUUGUGGGGUAGUGGCUUACCAAGGCUUUGACGGGUAGCCGGCCUGAGAGGGUGAACGGCCACAUUGGGACUGAGAGACGGCCCAGACUCCUACGGGAGGCAGCAGGGGAGAGUAUUGCACAAUGGGCGGAAGCCUGUUGCAGAGACGCCGCGUGCGGGAUGACGGCCUUCGGGGUGUAAACCGCUUUCGACUGUGACGAGGCGUGAGUGACGGUAAUGGGUAAAAAAGCACCGGCUAACUACGUG
RNAcentral lists this ribosomal RNA (468 nucleotides) under uncultured bacterium. RNAcentral's name for it is "partial 16S ribosomal RNA". It matches the Rfam family "Bacterial small subunit ribosomal RNA", at positions 28 to 507 of the family's 1533-position model. The record is from RNAcentral.